This is a non-coding RNA of Parelaphostrongylus tenuis, 77 nucleotides long. NCBI's taxonomy places the organism in Eukaryota, Metazoa, Nematoda, Chromadorea, Rhabditida, Metastrongylidae. The record is from the annotation of a GenBank genome assembly.
GGCUUCAAUGGUGCAAUUGGUUGAAGCGCGCGCCCAUUGAAAGGGUGGAAUGCGGGUUCGAUUCCCGCCUGACGUCG